RNAcentral lists this ribosomal RNA (492 nucleotides) under uncultured bacterium. RNAcentral describes it as "partial 16S ribosomal RNA". It matches the Rfam family "Bacterial small subunit ribosomal RNA", at positions 29 to 507 of the family's 1533-position model. The record is from RNAcentral.
AUUGAACGCUGGCGGCAUGCUUUACACAUGCAAGUCGAACGGUAACAGGCCUUCGGGUGCUGACGAGUGGCGAACGGGUGCGUAAUGCAUCGGAACGUACCCAGAGGUGGGGGAUAACGCAGCGAAAGCUGUGCUAAUACCGCAUGUGAUCUGAGGAUGAAAGCGGGGGACCGAGCAGCAAUGUUUGGCCUCGCGCCUUUGGAGCGGCCGAUGUCGGAUUAGCUAGUUGGUGGGGUAAAGGCCUACCAAGGCGACGAUCCGUAGCUGGUCUGAGAGGACGACCAGCCACACUGGGACUGAGACACGGCCCAGACUCCUACGGGAGGCAGCAGUGGGGAAUUUUGGACAAUGGGCGCAAGCCUGAUCCAGCAAUGCCGCGUGCGGGAAGAAGGCCUUCGGGUUGUAAACCGCUUUUGGCAGGAACGAAACGGUGUCCGCUAAUACCGGGCGCUAAUGACGGUACCUACAGAAUAAGCACCGGCUAACUACGUG